Chrysemys picta bellii (western painted turtle) is the source of this 7347-nucleotide long non-coding RNA. RefSeq lists it as uncharacterized. The record is from RefSeq and is a predicted model, not a curated record. Lineage: Eukaryota; Metazoa; Chordata; Testudines; Emydidae.
UUGAACAUAAUUCUUUGGUUAAUGUGUAACAUUAAAUAAAUAACCAAGGGUAGUGAAAGAGUUCAAAGGGUAGUGAAAAACUAAGCAAUCAUAUUGGGUUUGGAUAACCUGUGAUGUGGAUCUUGGACCAGUGUCCAUUCUUGGCCGUUCCUUUAAUCUCCAGUUUCAUGUGUCAUCUAGAUACAGAACUCCUCAGCUGCACCUUUCUUUGGAAUGGUCACAGCUUGAUAACCCUAUUUGUAUCCCAAAGAAAAUCUUUUCCAUCAGCAAUGUCUAAUGUGUCUAUAUUUUUUAUUACUCACUUAGCAUAUAAAGGAAUAUUCCUUGCUGCAGAGCAUAAGAGAGACAUCCCCUAAGUGUUACCAUACUUGGUGGAGAUUUUCUAUUCUUAUAUUACUUUUUAUUUGAAAACGCUUCAUUACUUUCUUAAGUAUAGGACUCUCUCUGCAGCUAGUGCUCUCAGCAGCUGCUAGGUUUACUAGUGCAAUGUAAUGGAUGCUAAAUUUACCAUGAGCAAGAUAUUUCCAGUUUGAACCACCUUUGAUUAACUGGCACAACAGUAAUUUAAAAUGUUCAUGGCUGCCUUCCCUCUCAGUGUUUCACCAGCAUUCGUGGGCAUGGAAUUUUAUGUUCUGCAAAGCCCUUGGCGAUGAAAAGAGAAAAUACAGUGCAAUUAAAUACACCCCUGAAAGGACAAGAGACCUCACGAUUCACAGACUGCUCGGAAAUUGGAUUAAGCCCAUUACUUCUCAUCCGACUUUCAGAAGACAUGGAGAAAAAAAUGUCACUGUCCUGUGUAUAACAGUCUUUAACAUAUUUGAAGACUAUUAUCAGGUCGCCCCUCAAUCUUCUUUUCUCCAGACUAAACACGCCCAGUUUUUUAAUCUUUCCUCAGAGGUCAGGUUUUCUAAACCGCUUGUCACACUCAUUGCUCUCCUCUGGACUCUCUCCAAUUUCUCCACAUCUUUCUUAAAGUGUGGUGCCCAAAACUGGACAGUACUCCAGCUGAGAUCUCACCGUGCCAAAUGGAGCGGAACAAUGACUGUCCAACUCUUCCAUAUGACACCCCUGUUAAUACACCCCAGAACAUCAGCCUUUUUUGCAAUUACAUCAUAUUGUUGGUGCAUAUACAAUUUGUGAGCCACUAUAACCCCCAGAUCCUUUUCAGUAGCACUACCACCUGGCCAGUUAUUCCUUACUUUGUAGUUAUGCAUUUGUAUUUUUCUUCCUGAGUGUAGUACUUUGCACUUGUCUUUAUUGUUUGCCCUCUGUUUUUAUGGGCACAUAAUACUGUAAUAACAUGUAGCAUUUAUCCAGUGUUUUACGUGUUCACAGUGGUGUGAAAUUAAUGUGUGUUGUGGGUGAAUAUUAUUCCCCAUUUUACAGAUUGGGAAACUGUGGCAGAGACAAGGCUCAUUAUUUGUUGUUUCGGUACAUAAUAUAUUUAACAGUGAAAGCUAAGAAAAGGGGAAGAAAUAAGAGUGAAGGAGAAAAAAAUUCCAGUAUGCUGAAGUUCCCGGUGAGUGAAUGCAAUUGCUAAAGAGAAAAGACUUAAUAUUCUGGAACCUUUUAGUGUUGGCUAGAAAAUAGGUAUGCAUAAAUGCUGCAUAAAACCAGCAUUAAGUGUUUGCACUCUGUACCAUUUAUUCCUCCUGGGAAGAGGAGUAAUAUGUGUUGGAUGAAGGUACACACAUCUGUGUCGGGGCACAGACACACGGACUGCUAAACGUCUGCAGUCUGGAAUACGUCUCCAUGCCAGAGGACCCGCAGAGCAGCUUCUCUGUUGCUUUUAGGGGAACCCUUGUUGGCCGUAGGGAACUUUUCCCUGCACUCUCUCUGGCUGUGUCUUUGACCCAUUAGUGCAACUUGCAGCCAAAAUUCAGGCAAAAAUCUGUAACAAAAAUGACUGUCUCCUCCAUUCUUUUGCCUAUGUUCAAAAAUUCCCAUGACACUCACAAAAGGAAUCUGUUUCAAAAGCCUUACAAGGAUGACAAAAGACUUGUGUCUAUUUAUUGUACUUAUAGGGACCCUGUCUUACCCUAGUAUCUGACCAGCUCACAACAUUUAAUGUAUUUAUCCUCAGAACUGCCCUGUGAGGUAGGGCAGUACUAUUAUUCCCCUUGUAUAGUUGGGGAACUGAGGCAUGGAGAGGCUAAAUGACCAGCCCAAGAUCACACAAGUCUGUGACAGAGCAGGGAAUUGAACUCAGGUUUCUGAGUCCUAAGCUGAGUCUCUAUUUGUGAUCAAGUGGGCCCAAAGCACCGAACCAACCUUCCUUCAGCCCCAUGCUACAAGCAGGCGUUAGCAGGACUUAGGUGCCAUUGCAAAAAUCCUGGGGACCCCGCCAUUGUUUCUGAGCUAUACCUACUUCCAGGAGCUGCAUUACCUGCAUCCCAGGUUUCUCAACUUCCUUUGGAGACCCUAAUGCCAUCAAUGUUCACCUUAUAAACACAACAGUAUCACGGUAGCCUGCCUCUUGAUAUACAUUAUAAGCAUUGUUAUAGACUUUACCCAGACCAAAUUCCAUCUUCCCUGUCUUUCACCUAGCUCGCCGGUGGGUGAAUCUAGAUGCUGGCCAUAAAUCAGUGAAACAGCAGCAGAUCGGUAUAUCAUUUCUUCUGGGAGGGAACAAGUAGAACUUUGUUACAAAUUCAUUCAUGGAUGAAACAGCCUCUAAGGCUCUAAAACUACUUGUCAUUUCCUCAUUCCUGGAUGCCAGGUCUUCUUGGGCUUCCAUGAAGCCUGUGAGAGGCCAUUUGUAUUAAUAGCUCUAAGCUUCUGCAUUUCCUGGAUCCGAAACACUAAUGAAAAAUCCUUCCUGAUACUUCUCUAGGGGAAAGGCAGUUUCCUCCAUCUCCCCAUCCCUAUCAGCACAUCUGAUCCAGCCAGUCAGCUGACCUCCUGGACAUUUAUGUCCUACGACAGAUUUACAUGAAACAUCUGCCUCUUCUUGGUGGGGUGGGUAUUUCAUAGUUAAAGGCCACGGGCUAUCUCAGGACAUGAAAUGGUUCUUGCUUCUCAGACAACUGUUCACGGUCUCAGGAGGGGAAACAGCAAUCAGACCUUUUGCCCUGGCUGACUUAUCAUACUGCUGCUUCUGCCCGACUUGGGCUUCCCCUAGGGUCUGUUAAGUAAGAUCCUUCAUCCUGUAUAAUUAUUUCCCCAUCCUGAUUCUCAAUACUGACUUGACAGGGAAGAGCAGUUCAAAGAAUACGAAUGGUGGAUGCCUGUGUUUUUGAUCUAUGCAGAAGUUGGUAUGGGAACUACUUCGAGCUGAUGCCUAAAUUAUUUUUGGAGCAUAUUAUUCUUCCUAAGGAUCUAGAUGAACGGCUUUGGAGAUUUAUGGGAAUGAUGUUUAUGGUGGCAUUCCUAUAAGCAGAGACAGGUGAGUUUAACCCUGAGAUGUUGCCCUUACACAUUGCAAAUGGUCAGUUCUUAGGAAUGUUGGGAUAGCUUUGUUGUUCACACAGGAACCUUUAGUUACACUGAGUUCUACUCCAUUGAUGUCAGUGGGAUUACUCCUUGAUGAGAUAUUAGUCACUGUGAUAAGGAUAUGGCAACCUAGUCCUGAUUAGUUGGGGAGGCAGAGGGGUACUAACAUGUUAGAAAAUACUGGAAUUACCUUGCUAAUACCUCUUGCAUUUAUUUAUUUUUUACUAUUAUAGCAGCAUGGAUGUGCAGGGCACUUUACCAACCAAUUAGGAGAUGCCGCCAACGAUGACAGAGGAAGGGGAGACAGGGAAAUAUUUGGGAGUAAAGAUAAAAAGCUCACUUUUUUGCCGCAUUAUGUUUCAGCCCAUAGCAAGAGCUCCAUAAAGAUGUCAGACAGACACACUGAGGCGCGAGAUUCCACAGGGGAGCCAGAGCAGGAGUAAAUCUGUGUCUUAUCAGUAUAAUGGAAUUACAUUGACUUGUGCCCUUGGUGAAUUUGGCCUAUUGAUUAGUCGUCGUCCUCUCCCCCUCUCCCCCCCAAGCACUGCAAAGGAGCUAAUAUUUAUUAGCCCAUUUUACUGAUGAAUAAACAAAGAUGCAGCGAGGCUAAGCAAUUUAUCCAAGGUCACCCGGUGAGUCAGGAUUAAAACUCAAAAGUCCUAACUCCCACGUAACACCAGUCACAACACUGACACAUGGAAUGACUAGUGUAAAUAUUGGAGAUAAAACUACCUACGAGGUAGGACUGAUAUUAGGCCAUAGUUACAAAAAUACAAAACAAGCAUUGGGCUUCCUAUUGUCACACAACCAUUUGCAGGGGUCACAGCACUGUUACUUUGGCUAUGAGAGCUUGUUGCUGUCUAUUCUUGAGUGAGAGAGGUUUUCAUCAUAUACAAAAACAAGUUCUUACAGUGCUACUGCCCCACACGUCUACUACAGUGAUACUUGCAGUUUGGGCUAUGAGUGUAGUCGACUGUAUUUUAUUAUGAGCAGUAUUGUGCCACAAGCCAUAUUAUAUAUACGGAGUAAAAUCCUGGCUUUAUUGAAGUAAAUAGGUGAAAUCCUGUUUCCAUAUAAGUCAAUGGAAGUUUUACUGUGACAUCUUGAAUCUAAAAAGAGAGGCAUUGCUAAAAGUUACCUUAAAAUAUUCUCUAAAGAUCAUCACUGAAAGAGUUAACACUUGGAGCCUCCCCUCCCUCAUCCCUUGAUGUUCUAAACCUUUUCUAACCUACCAGCUUCCCAGAAGUGAUUGCCCGCUGUCUGUGAACCAGACUAUUUAAGCAGCAUGAACCCUCUGAGUUUCAGUCCCUGGGCCUCCCUGCAGUUGUUAAAUGGUUCAUGUAGUUUGCCAAGCAAAGGGCUGCCUGUGACUAAAAAAAGGAGCCGUUUUAAUAGCUCUAAUAUAGCGGGCCAGCAAAUGUACCAAUGGGGUACAGUCAGAAACUGGGAAGGGGCAAUUUGCAAAUAAUUUGGAGUUUCCGCUAGGAACAGGGAGCUCGGUGUGUGAGGAACGUGAUGAUGUCUGACAUUUUAGAGGUAAAUGGACUAGUCAGUUUUUGUACAUUUUCCACUUUGUUGGCAAGUUAUUUUCCUGAGAAAACACAAUGACCAAAACACCAGUGAAAUUUGGUUUCCUUUCCUCCUUAAGGAACAUUAAUCUCCAGACUGAUCAUUCUGAAUCUGACUUCACACUGAAAUUGAUGAGAGGUGCUGUUUAUUCAACACUCUUUUAUGCUCCCUAACAUUACCAUGCAUGUCUGGAAACAUGCUCCUUCUUAGUAUAUUGUCAUGCUCACAACACAAGGCACAUUGUCACUUCAAGGGGAGCAUUAUCUAGUGGUUCAAAUCAGAUACUGAACUCUUCUUGGUGGCAAAUGCAAAUAGUCUUAGCUAACCGAGCUAUGACAAAUUAUAGCAGAUGUCCCUUGGGCUCUAUUCUGGGCUGUUCCACCGACAUGCAGUGUAACUCAAAAGGAGUCACUCAGUAGCUCUCUGCCUCAGUUUCCCCCCAAUCUGAAAAACAGAGAUUGCCUGGGUUACAAGGUUGUUGUGGGGCUUUAAAAUUAAUGUUUGUAAAGCACUUUGAGAUCACUCAUAUCUAUAUCUAUAUAAAUGAAAUUAUAUACAGUAUAGACUAGAUAAUAAUAUAAGUGUAAAGGACUAUUUAAAAUAUAAAUCAAAGUAUUAUUACAAGAAGUCUGUUCCAGAGACCCAUGCAUGGCUUGGAUUCAGUAAAGUAUGUGCUGUUAGAAUCCUUUCUAGUGAAAAAAUGUUUCAACAGCAGCUAGUUAAAUAUUGUGAUUUCAUAUGGCGCCUUUACUUACAGUGUGUCGUUAUCUUUAACAACAUCUAUUUAUAAUGAUCUUUAUGAGAUAAUAAACAGUGCUAUCCUAUUAACAGUGACCUCAAAGUUCAGCCAAGAACAUGAGGAAGUCUGCCAAAAUAGCUAGGUGGCCUUUCUUGCAGUCUUGCGGAACACAGCUGACUUUUAUUUUUAUUUUCAGAUCUAGCAAUAUUAAUACCCAAAUAAAUAUAAAUUAUAGGUGUUAAGUGAAAUUUAUGGAUCGUGAAGGUGUGAAUCAGAUGGCACCAGCAAAGUGUGGAUUCAGGUAUAGGCUAGGGAUGCAAACUGCUCUUGUGUCGCUUUGCCAAUACUCUAAUCUUAUCUGUAGCAUCCCAGGCAUUUUAUAGCUUUGACGUUUGAAAGAAAAUCUAUUGGCUUGUCUUCUGGAAAGCUUGGCCUAGGGGAAAAGACAGUUCCUGGUGUAGAGGGAGUUGUUUGUAUAGGUGGCUUGGUGGCAGGAUGUAGGUUGAGGAAAGACUGGUGAUGUAAUUAAUGCCAAGUUUAACAGACUCCUUGCAGAAGAGGAAAGUCAUUGUACCACUAUUAAUAUGACUACUAGUACAACCACAUGCUGGGGUUCAGGGGACAGAUACAGGCAUUGCCAAAGGAGAGGUGGACAUUUAUGAUUCCGAAAUGUCAUCUGAGUAACAUGUUUUGUGUUCUGCGUUGAGCCCUGUUCACUCCUUGGGUUCUUAAACUGUGUCCUCUGGAGCCCUGCAGUCCUCAGAACUCUCCCUAGCAGUCCACAAAAUGAAAGAAUUUUGCAAACCAAACAAUGUGGGAGUCUGGAAAGAGAAAAGGAUGCUUGUGAGGUUCUUUCAGUGACAAAGUAGACUGCGGAGUGAAAAGCUGGAGAAUGGCUGGUCCAGACAACAGUUCCUGUGUGAAGCGCUGAAAUACGCGCUGACCUUCCUGUGCGCCUGACCAUCAUGUAUCAUUCCCACAGCCGCAUUUUUAUGCCCUGGGCAAUAAACAGUCACUUUUAUACUAACAUCUGUAUGAAAAGCUUGCUGUCCUCAUUGACCAAGAAAACACCCAUCCUAAUCCAACAGUGCUGUACGGCAUAGAACCAACUGGAUUGCACACCCCUGCUCUGAAACUUUCUUCUGCCUUCACCAGAUUAUUUAUUGCUGUGUUCCACACUGGGAGGAAGAGAAGGCUUUACGCAAUGUCUUCAUAUUUAAAAACUAAACAGCUUCUAUAAAGGCCUCUUGUCACAGUCUGGGUAUUAAUGUGUUAUGCUUUAAAUGGUAACCCACAGCUGAAUGCAUUCUAUGCUAUGGAUCUGGCUAGCGUAUGUGCGAUGUUGACACAAAUUAUGGCAUUAUGUUGUAUAUGAUAUCUGAUAUUAUUUUUAUUAUAAUACCAAGAUCAAGGCCCUAGAAUGACUCAUUCCUGAAGCACUUACAUUUAGAGAUGUGCGAAUAACAGAUUUUUCAGAUCACUGGCCAUUCUGGAAAAAACACGGUUUGGGGUGACCCAAAAAUGAACUUUUUUGGCGAAUCAAAAAUAUUAAAUAAAGUCAUUUGGGGUUGAAUGGACCAUUUAAGUUUUACCAAAAGUUAAAUGCU